GUGGGGAAUCUUGCGCAAUGGGCGAAAGCCUGACGCAGCCAUGCCGCGUGAAUGAUGAAGGUCUUAGGAUUGUAAAAUUCUUUCACCGGGGACGAUAAUGACGGUACCCGGAGAAGAAGCUCCGGCUAACUUCGUGCCAGCAGCCGCGGUAAUACGAAGGGGGCUAGCGUUGCUCGGAAUUACUGGGCGUAAAGGGCGCGUAGGCGGACAGCUUAGUCAGAGGUGAAAGCCCAGGGCUCAACCUUGGAAUUGCCUUUGAUACUGGCUGUCUUGAGUUUGGGAGAGGUGGGUGGAACUCCGAGUGUAGAGGUGAAAUUCGUAGAUAUUCGGAAGAACACCAGUGGCGAAGGCGACUCACUGGCCCGUUACUGACGCUGAGGCGCGAAAGCGUGGGGAGCAAACAGGAUUAGAUACCCUUGUAGUCC
This 425-nucleotide ribosomal RNA is filed under the name uncultured bacterium. RNAcentral describes it as "partial 16S ribosomal RNA". It matches the Rfam family "Bacterial small subunit ribosomal RNA", at positions 354 to 796 of the family's 1533-position model. The record is from RNAcentral.